UACGAAGGGGGCUAGCGUUGCUCGGAAUUACUGGGCGUAAAGCGCGCGUAGGUGGUUUGUUAAGUUGAAUGUGAAAGCCCCGGGCUCAACCCGGGAGGGUCGUGGCAAACCGGCGGGCUUGAGGCCGGUAGAGGUGGGUGGAACUCCUGGUGGAGUGGUGGAAAUGCGUAGAGAUCAGGAAGAACACCCGUGGCGAAGGCGGCCCACUGGGCCGGUACUGACGCUGAGGCGCGAAGGCGUGGGGAGCGAACGGG
Molecule: ribosomal RNA, 254 nt
Filed under: uncultured bacterium
Lineage: Bacteria
Description: partial 16S ribosomal RNA
Rfam family: Bacterial small subunit ribosomal RNA
Source: RNAcentral